CCCUUAGAUGUCCUGGGCCGCACGCGCGCUACACUGAUGCAUGCAACGAGUUUAUAACCUUGGCCUGAAAGGUCUGGGUAAUCUUUUGAACGUGCAUCGUGAUAGGGAUAGAUUAUUGCAAUUGUUAAUCUUGAACGAGGAAUUCCUAGUAAACGCGAGUCAUCAGCUCGCAUUGAUUACGUCCCUGCCCUUUGUACACACCGCCCGUCGCACCUACCGAUUGAAUGGUUCGGUGAAGAUCUCGGACUUCGAUAUUUAUUCUUUAUUGAGUUUAUAUUGUGGGAAGUUAUCUAAACCUCAUCACUUAGAGGAAGGAGAAGUCGUAACA
Molecule: ribosomal RNA, 328 nt
Filed under: uncultured eukaryote
Lineage: Eukaryota
Description: partial 18S ribosomal RNA
Rfam family: Eukaryotic small subunit ribosomal RNA
Source: RNAcentral